Molecule: ribosomal RNA, 447 nt
Filed under: uncultured bacterium
Lineage: Bacteria
Description: bacterial SSU rRNA
Rfam family: Bacterial small subunit ribosomal RNA
Source: RNAcentral
UCGGGAAUUUUGGGCAAUGGGCGAAACCCUGACCCAGCAACGCCGCGUGAAGGAUGAAGUAUUUCGGUAUGUAAACUUCGAAAGAAUAGGAAGAAUAAAUGACGGUACUAUUUAUAAGGUCCGGCUAACUACGUGCCAGCAGCCGCGGUAAUACGUAGGGACCAAGCGUUGUUCGGAUUUACUGGGCGUAAAGGGCGCGUAGGCGGCAUGACAAGUCACUUGUGAAAUCUCUGGGCUUAACCCAGAACGGCCAAGUGAUACUGUCGCGCUAGAGUGCAGAAGGGGCAAUCGGAAUUCUUGGUGUAGCGGUGAAAUGCGUAGAUAUCAAGAGGAACACCUGAGGUGAAGACGGGUUGCUGGGCUGACACUGACGCUGAGGCGCGAAAGCCAGGGGAGCAAACGGGAUUAGAUACCCCAGUAGUCCCUGAGCGGGCUGGCAAGGCGCAU